CCAAAGAUGUUCUUGUGAGUUGGAGAGGUGGAACUUGAAAGAUAAGUGAGACAGUGACCUGGAACUUGGGAGUAAGAAGGACAUCGUUAGCCAGCUGUUCUUGUUCCAUCAUUGCCAUCUGCUGGAAAGCUCUUGCUUUUCUGUCAGUCACCAGUAAAAUACGGCAAUAAGAACAGAAAAUGGGAGGAAGAUCACAAUUUUUUUAGACAUGUCAGAAUUAGGAAAUGAAAACAAAGAGCAGAAAGCAAGUAAAGGAAGUAGGUGAAUUACUGUUUG
This is a non-coding RNA of Pelobates cultripes (western spadefoot toad), 276 nucleotides long. NCBI's taxonomy places the organism in Eukaryota, Metazoa, Chordata, Amphibia, Anura, Pelobatidae. The record is from the annotation of a GenBank genome assembly.